GCCCGGGUGGUGGAAUUGGUAGACACGCUAUCUUGAGGGGGUAGUGACCACAAGUCGUGCGGGUUCGAAUCCCGCCCCGGGCACCA
RNAcentral lists this transfer RNA (86 nucleotides) under bacterium. RNAcentral describes it as "tRNA-Leu". It matches the Rfam family "tRNA". Rfam says of the family: Transfer RNA (tRNA) molecules are approximately 80 nucleotides in length. The record is from RNAcentral.